This 446-nucleotide ribosomal RNA is filed under the name uncultured bacterium. RNAcentral describes it as "partial 16S ribosomal RNA". It matches the Rfam family "Bacterial small subunit ribosomal RNA", at positions 338 to 795 of the family's 1533-position model. The record is from RNAcentral.
CCUACGGGUGGCAGCAGUCGAGAAUCAUUCACAAUGGGGGAAACCCUGAUGGUGCGACGCCGCGUGGGGGAAUGAAGGUCUUCGAAUUGUAAACCCCUGUCAUGUGGGAGCAAAUUAAAAAGAUAGUACCACAAGAGGAAGAGACGGCUAACUCUGUGCCAGCAGCCGCGGUAAUACAGAGGUCUCAAGCGGUGUUCGGAAUCACUGGGCGGAAAGCGUGCGUAGGCUGUUUCGUAAGUCGUGUGUGAAAGGCGCGGGCUCAACCCGCGGACGGCACAUGAUACUGCGAGACUAGAGUAAUGGAGGGGGAACCGGAAUUCUCGGUGUAGCAGUGAAAUGCGUAGAUAUCGAGAGGAACACUCGUGGCGAAGGCGGGUUCCUGGACAUUAACUGACGCUGAGGCACGAAGGCCAGGGGAGCGAAAGGGAUUAGAUACCCCGGUAGUC